UACGUAGGGUGCAAGCGUUAAUCGGAAUUAUUGGGCGUAAAGAGCUCGUAGGCGGCCUGUUGCGUCCGCUGUGAAAGCCCGGGGCUUAACCCCGGGUCGGCAGUGGAUACGGGCAGGCUAGAGGUAGGUAGGGGAGAAUGGAAUUCCCGGUGUAGCGGUGAAAUGCGCAGAUAUCGGGAGGAACACCGGUGGCGAAGGCGGUUCUCUGGGCCUUACCUGACGCUGAGGAGCGAAAGCGUGGGGAGCGAACAGG
RNAcentral lists this ribosomal RNA (253 nucleotides) under uncultured bacterium. RNAcentral's name for it is "partial 16S ribosomal RNA". It matches the Rfam family "Bacterial small subunit ribosomal RNA", at positions 524 to 776 of the family's 1533-position model. The record is from RNAcentral.